Musa acuminata AAA Group (dessert banana) is the source of this 2836-nucleotide long non-coding RNA. RefSeq lists it as uncharacterized. The record is from RefSeq and is a predicted model, not a curated record. Lineage: Eukaryota; Viridiplantae; Streptophyta; Magnoliopsida; Zingiberales; Musaceae. The transcript has 3 exons.
AAUUUAACCGUUGACAAUAGCGAUAUAGACAUGUCCAUUAACAAACUGUAAAUCUAUUAGAUUAUUCCCUCUGCACGAGAUCGAACCGGUCUAAUGUCUGAACCGAACCUAAAAUUGGAAUCAGCGUCGCGAGAGGUCGUCGUUAGGCUGUUGAGUUGACUUAUUUAUGAUCGAAUCAAUUGUCUCGAAGGAGCGGGUUUUGGUGGCUGUGCUUGCGGUUUGUGCGUCUUGCUUUUGCCCCGAUCUGUUACCUUCUCUCUGGCGUUUCAGUUGCCCCUUCGAAUGCGAUUCUGUGGAGAUGGGGAAGGACGGCUUCGGCGUGGCACAAACUUCCAACGUGAUGCAAAACCCACAAACAAUCCGAAGAAGAAUUCUUCGAUUCUCCACGGCCAAUCCCCUUUCCAUUCCCUCGAAAUCUCAAUGCGUCUCGUCGUUCACAACCCAUUUAAAUCCUAACCCCAGAUUCAUACCCGAUCACCCCAUCCUACCCCUCUUGGCCGCCGCCUGGCCCCGGGCCGACCGCCGGGUCCUCCACCCCAACGUUAUCGCCUCGGGCCUCAUCCGCGACCCCUUCGCCCCCAGCCGCGUCGUCCAGUUCUUCCUCGCCCCCCGGCCGCCGACAAUAUGAAAAUGAUUGAUUGGAUGAUGCAAGGUGUAUAAGGAAUGAAUAGACCGGCUAUAGUCCAUUGAAUGCACAGGAAUUGCCCAUGAGUUCAUUGUUGGAGACACAAGUCAUCCUCUGUGCAGCGAGAUCUAAUGCUCUGUUGACAGAGAUUGAAAAGAAAUUUGAGAUGGUUUGAUAAGUAUUUUAGAUCUCAGAUGGUAGUCAGAAUCGAUCAUAAGGAGGUUACUGAUGUGUCCUAUCACUGAGAGAACCUGGGAAUGUAACUCGAUAUAAUAGAUGUAGACCAAAGAUGCCAAUUUGGUUGGCAGAAAAUCCUGCUCACCUAAUGCAAAUCUGCUAUCUAUGGUUGUCCAGAAAGCUGAGGCAGUUUGACAAGUUCAUCAAAGGGUCAUGUUCUUACAACAUCUGGUGGUAAAGGUGGUUGUGCAUAUCUCCUAUUUAGUUCUGAUGAAUUAAUGGCUUAUAAUUUACCUGACAUAAAUUUCUUAAGAGUUUAUCUGACAUUUUGGCUUUGUAUAUGUCAUGAUCAUUAAUUGCCAGUCUUUUUGUGACAUCUGAGAACCUUGAUGGAUACAGUGAACAGCUACAAGAGGACAAUGCUGAAGAAUCAUAAAUUCUUGAAUAAGUUGUGACCAUGCACAGAGGGCCAAGUUCCAAAAAGGUUACUAGCACUUUGCAAGUAAUUGCUCCUUUUCAUUUUUUUUUGGCCCUUUGCCCUUUGCUAUUACCUUAAUAUUUAAGAUGAAGCAUGUGAACUUGGGGAAGCCAUAGUGAUUGCUUAUCAUGAAAGGCUUGGGACAUAGGUGGUAUAUAUUAAGAUGUUUCUUUCAGGUGACUGGUCUGAACUGGGAGAUAACUGGUCUCAGAUUUGACAGUAUAUCAAGUUCAGUAGGUUAAGGUAUUCUGUGGCCCAAUAGUAGAUAUAUAACUUGGUUGUUGAUGGUAGCUGAUUCUUCACAUAUUCUGCCUUUUAAGAGUAUAUACAAAGAUUAAGCUAGAUGCUUCUCAGAAUGUGUGAAAGACAGUAUGCUAAAUGCAAAGAUCAAGCAAGAAUGAUGAUAGAAAGUAGUUUGGAUCAAACUCUCAAUGCUUGCAUCAUUCCAUGGAUUGUGACAACCCACAUAUACUUUGCAAGUGCACCAAAUAAGAUGAGUCAAACUAAGUUUUGGAAUAAUCCUGCCAUGACACUUAACUCAGAUAUUACAUGGUCUAAAUUUCCAAAAAGUACUCAGGAAGUUGUUGCAUAGGGUUGGAGGGUGACUCAUAUUAAUUAAUGUCAUCGAACACGCUAAAUAUGAGAUGAAUUAGAUCAAAUUGUAAUGCUAUUGUUAUGAUAUGACUGCUUGAUGGCUCUGGACUAACCUGUAUAAGAACAGUCUUUUUUGUGAAGAAUUAAUCAAGACUACAAAAGGAUACACUUGUUACAACUUUAGGCUUCACAUCAUGUCGAGGCUAUUGCUCGUCAUACUUAUUAGGAUCAAAUCAAAUCAGAAAGAAUAUUUGUCGAUGUUCCCUUAUCAAAGAUAAGCAAGGGCAUCAAUAUACCCCGAGGGAAUUCUAUCAACAGGUAAUCUCCACUUAUCUGAAGAUGCAGCUUUCUCAAAGAGAGACUUAGUAUGUGUACCAUGAACAAUUACUUUGAUCCUAUCAAAAGAAUUUUUUUCUCUCUCGAUAUUCACAACUCAUUGGAAUAUUUUAUUUUUAUGAAUAUUAGAAUCAUUUAUACUGUUAGUUAGUCUUUAAUUUCUCCUUGUCAUUUGGAAAUAAAUUACCUAAGAGAAUGUCAUGAUACUUUCCUGCUUGUGCUUAGUCUCUUUUUUCAACAUAUAUUCUGUCAAUGUAGUUUCACAAGGUAUGGGGACAACUCAUGAAGACUGGUUAUCAAAGCUCAUGCUUGGCUCAUCAGGUUUAGAGGUUUGCUUAUUUAUACACAAGACAAGUAACAAACUUGAGCUUGCACUCUCUUGACAAAUACUACAGUCCAAAUGAAGAUUACAUGCCCCAUGAAUUUGAUAUUCUUGGACCAGUAUAGGAAAAUCUCUCACAACUGCAGUCUUCCGUGUGGCAAGUGUAGAUGGAACUGCGACCCAACAUGAAAUUGAUGCAUUCACAGGAAGUCUCCUGGAGGUUUACAUAAUAGUUAGUCACCUUUCAAAUGCUUUCUAACAUGAUAUAACAAAGUUGUAGCUAAAGUAAAAUACUGAAGAUGAU